Molecule: ribosomal RNA, 274 nt
Filed under: uncultured bacterium
Lineage: Bacteria
Description: partial 16S ribosomal RNA
Rfam family: Bacterial small subunit ribosomal RNA
Source: RNAcentral
ACACGGGGGGCGCAAGCGUUAUUCGGAAUUAUUGGGCGUAAAGGGCGUGUAGGCGGUUUUAUCGGUCAGAUGUGAAAGCCCAGGGCUCAACCCUGGACGUGCAUUUGAAACAGUAAGACUUGAGUACGGUAGAGGAGAGCGGAAUUCCUGGUGUAGAGGUGAAAUUCGUAGAUAUCAGGAGGAACACCGAUGGCGAAGGCAGCUUUCUGGACCGAAACUGACGCUGAUGCGCGAAGGCGUGGGUAGCGAACAGGAUUAGAAACCCUAGUAGUCC